AACGCACAUUGCGCCCUUUGGUAUUCCGAAGGGCAUGCCUGAUCGAGCGUCAUUAUCACCCCUCAAGCCCCCGGCUUGGUGUUGGACGGCUUGGUGAAGACCCUUUUUGUGGCCCACCCCUCCCAAAGACAAUGACGGCGGCCUCGUUGGACCCCCGGUACACUGAGUUCUUCACGGGACACGUAUCGGACACACGGGUUUACGGGUCACGGUCUGCCUCCCCUCAGGGAGAACUUUUCUAAGGUUGACCUCGGAUCAGGUAGGGAUACCCGCUGAACUUAA
RNAcentral lists this unclassified non-coding RNA (282 nucleotides) under uncultured Exophiala. RNAcentral's name for it is "sequence contains ITS2". Lineage: Eukaryota; Fungi; Ascomycota; Eurotiomycetes; Chaetothyriales; Herpotrichiellaceae. The record is from RNAcentral.